CUGCAUUUAACCCAUCCAAGUGCACACACACAGCAGUGAGUAGUGAACAAACACACACACACACACACACACACACACACACACACACACACACACACACACACACACACACACACACACACACACCUGGAGCAGUGGGAAGCUCGGGUCUCACCUCAGUCGUUGUAUUGAGGGUGGAGAGAGUGCUGGACAUUCACUCCCCCACCUACAAUCCCUGCCGGACCCGGACAAGUCCAACUUUCUAACCAUUAGGUCACAACUGCCUCAUUUACAUCCUAACAUCAUGUAAAAGGGGAUUUUGCAUAAUAGGUGCCCUUUAAGACUAGUCUAUGCAGUUUAUGUAACCAGCCCCAUAACUAAUUGUUGUUGUACCACUGUGAUACCAAUGAAAUAUACACGAAUCUAACAUUGUAAGAUUUGCUCAUUCAGUGUUUAUUAUGCAAAUGAGCGGACAACAGGAAGGCUGCAAGGGACUGGAUGAUGGUCACCCAGUGUUGAGUACAGUAUCUCAGACUGCAGGGGAUCAUGCAGGACAGGCUCAGUAGAUUGUAUCACUGAAGGUUUGUGGUGGCAAUAGAAGGUAUGAUUGCUGACUAAAGGAUCCAUUAAAUGAUUUGUUUGAGUAUGAGCUGUUGAGGACAUCUCCAUCUCUGAUCCACAACUGUUCAAGAGAAUCAGGGUAAAAUUCCACAGAGCACAGAAUCAUGGUAGAUCCAUCAGGCCUCUUCACACAGGACAGCAACAAGACGGGACGCACUGAGAGGCAGAAUUAAUACACAAAAUACAAUACUUAUCAUUCAGAUCUACCUAACUAUCUCUCUAAUCUAAUCUAUCCGUAAUCUAUAAUUUUUUUCUUCUGAUUAUUAAGAAAUGAUUUACCAAUAACUUGAACUCUUUGAACUCCGAGAUCCACUUGAGGUGGUUUUACAAUCCUCUUCACAGUACAGGUGUAUGUGCCGGUAUCCUGAACUUGGAGAUUUAAGAGUUCAAAUGUUAUGUCAUUAGUCUCUGGAAUCCCAGUGAAUCUGACAGGAUCUUUACAAUGGUGGGUUUUCCAUGUAUUGUCAUAAAAGUAAUAUGAACACAGUGAAAGAUUUAAUGUUUGCAGAACUGCCGUCAUGCUUUCUGUGUCAUUUGUUGGGUUGUAGUUGCAUCUGAUUUUGGCAGACUGUCCAUGAUUGACAAAUAAAGUUGUAGUGUGAUUCACUGCCACAUCGCCAAAAGCUAAAAACAAAAAACAAAGACAAGCAGCAAAUUGAAUUUCUCAUGCCAAGCUGUGAAUUGCAACAUUUAGGUUCUCUUUG
Molecule: long non-coding RNA, 1304 nt
Organism: Cyprinus carpio carpio
Lineage: Eukaryota; Metazoa; Chordata; Actinopteri; Cypriniformes; Cyprinidae
Source: Ensembl